Molecule: non-coding RNA, 45 nt
Filed under: Alexandrium minutum
Lineage: Eukaryota; Dinophyceae; Gonyaulacales; Pyrocystaceae
Source: RNAcentral
UUUUUUUUUUUUUUUUUUUUUUUUUUUUUUUUUUUUUUCGUUCCC